This 591-nucleotide unclassified non-coding RNA is filed under the name Hevea brasiliensis (rubber tree). The record is from RNAcentral. Lineage: Eukaryota; Viridiplantae; Streptophyta; Magnoliopsida; Malpighiales; Euphorbiaceae.
GACUGGCAAAUUGACGUAAAGCUUGAUUCGGGUUUUUACAUUUAGUACUGUAAAACCAGAACUGUGAUUUCAACACUUUACAAGACUCAAAUAAAGUCAUAAACCUGUCUCCACAAGUGUCAUUCUUUGUUUUCUCUUUUCUAACAUGUUGCAGUACAAAGUCUACUCUUGACUGGGAGGAGGCUCUUCAUCGGAUGGCUUCCUGUUUCCACGACGCUCGUUCCAUCUUGACCAUGCCCACCUUAAGACAAAGAACCCUCCGAUAGCAUAAACCUGCCACAAGACAAUGGGAUUUGUAUUAGGUUCAGCCCCUUCUGUUUCGAGCUUCAACGAAGGCAAAUCCUGUCGCGGAAACUUCACUACAGCAGCUUUCUCCUCUUUUUCAGCUGAAGCAAUUGGUUUGAGGUCUGAAGUAGCAGCGGUGGGUUCAAUCUUCUUACUAGAUGCCGGCGGCGGUUUGAAAAGCUGAAGAACACUAGAGAUAAAUGAUGCAAGUGGGUUCGUGGGAUUGUUUUUCUGGUCAUCGGUAACCGUAAUAGAGUCACCGGAGAUUGUUGUUGUUGUUGUGGUGUCCGCCAUAGCUAAGUUUUU